This 116-nucleotide ribosomal RNA is filed under the name Pteropus alecto (black flying fox). Lineage: Eukaryota; Metazoa; Chordata; Mammalia; Chiroptera; Pteropodidae. The record is from RNAcentral.
GUCUAUAGCCAUGCCACCCUGAACAAGCCUGAUGUCUGAUCUCGGAAGCUAAGCAGGGUUGGGCCUGGUUGGUACUUGGAUGGGAGACCACCUAGGAAGACCAGGUGCUGUAGGCA